CACAGAAUGAAAACGCGAGAACAUUCAACCCAAAUCAUAAAGCCAAACCCUAACCCCCAAAUCAAUUUCGAACCUUUCUACAAAUUGAAGCCAAAAUCCAUCAUACAGAAGCCAAAAGCGUGAGAACGAUGAACCACAACCUAAAAGUCUCAAACCCAAACCCUACCCCUACCCCUAAAUCAGUUUCAAGCCUCCAUCGGCGGCCUCCCAAAAUCUGACUAAUGAGUGCAAGUUUUUUUUAUUGCAUUAGAGAAGGCGUGCACAUGGAUGUCGGAAAUGAAGGUAAAUUUGGUUCAGAUUUUGAAAUCUGUGCAUUGAUGUAGUGUUACGAGCAUUCUUGUACUAGCUUUCUUCUAUUAACAUUAUUGUUUGCGUUAAUUAGUAUUAUUUCGUAACAUUUAACUCCUGAAUUAGUUUUUGUAAUCCAGUAAAGAAAAUAACUUAACAAACUUCUCAGUCUUGGAGUAGAUUGGGUGGCAUUAAUUAUAGUAACGUAAGAGUGGACAAGAUCAAUUCGUUUUUAGAAACUUAGAAGGUCUUGUUUCUUACACUUGGAGCAAAUGACUAACUGAAAUUAUAAUGAAUUUUGAGACUCGUGAUCUAAUGAAGAAUAUUAUCUGGGAAACUUGUUGUGUUGUUGAAUCAUUAACAUAUUGUUCUAAUUUUUUUUAUUUUUUAUUUUUAUGUUGUUAUUUAUAUAUGUUGGUGAACUAGUUAAUUUGAUACAAAGCACUUCUAAUUGAACACAUUUACCAUAAUUUUAAAAUA
This 768-nucleotide long non-coding RNA is filed under the name Olea europaea subsp. europaea. The record is from RNAcentral. Lineage: Eukaryota; Viridiplantae; Streptophyta; Magnoliopsida; Lamiales; Oleaceae.